GUCCACGCCGUAAACGAUGAGUGCUAGGUGCUGCGGGUAUUGACCCCUGCGGUGCCGUAGCUAACGCGUUAAGCACUCCGCCUGUGGAGUACGGCCGCAAGGCUAAAAACUCAAAGGAAUUGACGGGGGCCCCGCACAAGCGGUGGAGCAUGUGGUUCAAUUCGACGCAACGCGCAGAACCUUACCUGGGUUAAAUCCACUCAAAGCUGGCAGAGAUGCCGGGGUGCCCUUCGGGGAAUGAGUGAGAAGGUGCUGCAUGGCUGUCGU
Molecule: ribosomal RNA, 267 nt
Filed under: uncultured bacterium
Lineage: Bacteria
Description: partial 16S ribosomal RNA
Rfam family: Bacterial small subunit ribosomal RNA
Source: RNAcentral